This 321-nucleotide ribosomal RNA is filed under the name uncultured eukaryote. RNAcentral's name for it is "partial 18S ribosomal RNA". It matches the Rfam family "Eukaryotic small subunit ribosomal RNA", at positions 1470 to 1795 of the family's 1831-position model. The record is from RNAcentral.
CCCUUAGAUGUUCUGGGCCGCACGCGUGCUACACUGAGUGGAUCAGCGGGUCAGGUUGCGCGAAAGUGUUUCCUAAUCUUUAAAUCCGCUCGUGAUGGGGAUUGACGGUUGCAAUUUUCCGUCAUGAACGAGGAAUACCUUGUAAGCGCGGGUCAUCAUCCCGCGCUGAAUACGUCCCUGCCCUUUGUACACACCGCCCGUCGCUCCUACCGAUUGAGUGGUCCGGUGAGGCUUUGGGAUCUGAGCGGAAAGAGCGUUUCGCUGUUUCUGCCCGGAAAACUCAGUCGAACCUUAUCAUUUAGAGGAAGGAGAAGGCGUAAC